AACGAACGCUGGCGGCAGGCUUAACACAUGCAAGUCGAACGCCCCGCAAGGGGAGUGGCAGACGGGUGAGUAACGCGUGGGAAUCUACCGUAUCCUACGGAACAACAGUUGGAAACGACUGCUAAUACCGUAUACGCCCUACGGGGGAAAGAUUUAUCGGGGUAUGAUGAGCCCGCGUUGGAUUAGCUAGUUGGUGGGGUAAAGGCCUACCAAGGCGACGAUCCAUAGCUGGUCUGAGAGGAUGACCAGCCACAUUGGGACUGAGACACGGCCCAACCUCCUACGGGGGGAAGCGGGGGGGAUUAUGGGAAAAUGGGAGCAAGCCUGAUCCACCCAGGCGGGGUGAGUGAGGAAGGUCUUAGGAUUGAAAAGCUCUUUCACCGAUGAAAAUAAUGACGGUAGUGGGAGAAGAAGCCCCGGCUAACUUCGUGCCAGCAGCCGCAGUAA
Molecule: ribosomal RNA, 447 nt
Filed under: uncultured bacterium
Lineage: Bacteria
Description: partial 16S ribosomal RNA
Rfam family: Bacterial small subunit ribosomal RNA
Source: RNAcentral